UCGAGAAUUUUUCUCAAUAGGGGAAACCCUGAAGGAGCGACGCCGCGUGGAGGAUGAAGGCUUUCGGGUCGUAAACUCCUGUCAUUAGGGAACAAUUGUCAGCGAUUAACUGUCGCGGACUUGAUAGUACCUGAAGAGGAAGGGACGGCUAACUCUGUGCCAGCAGCCGCGGUAAUACAGAGGUCCCAAGCGUUGUUCGGAUUCAUUGGGCGUAAAGGGUGCGUAGGUGGUAGACUAAGUCGGAUGUGAAAUCCCAGGGCUCAACCCUGGAACUGCAUUCGAUACUGGCCUGCUCGAGGACUGGAGAGGAGAUUGGAAUUUAUGGUGUAGCAGUGAAAUGCGUAGAUAUCAUAAGGAAGACCAGUGGCGAAGGCGGAUCUCUGGACAGUUCCUGACACUGAGGCACGAAGGCUAGGGGAGCAAACGG
Molecule: ribosomal RNA, 427 nt
Filed under: uncultured bacterium
Lineage: Bacteria
Description: bacterial SSU rRNA
Rfam family: Bacterial small subunit ribosomal RNA
Source: RNAcentral